UACGUAGGUGGCAAGCGUUGUCCGGAUUUAUUGGGUUUAAAGGGUGCGUAGGCGGCGAUCUAAGUCAGUGCUGAAAUAUCCCGGCUUAACCGGGAGGGUGGCAUUGAUACUGGGUUGCUUGAGUAAAGUUGAGGUAGGCGGAAUUGACGGUGUAGCGGUGAAAUGCUCAGAUAUCGUCAAGAACACCAAUAGUGAAGACAGCUUACUAAACUUUAACUGACGCUGAGGCACGAAAGUGUGGGGAGCAAACAGG
Molecule: ribosomal RNA, 253 nt
Filed under: uncultured bacterium
Lineage: Bacteria
Description: partial 16S ribosomal RNA
Rfam family: Bacterial small subunit ribosomal RNA
Source: RNAcentral